Long non-coding RNA from Erpetoichthys calabaricus (reedfish), 400 nucleotides. RefSeq lists it as uncharacterized. The record is from RefSeq and is a predicted model, not a curated record. The transcript is spliced from 3 exons. Lineage: Eukaryota; Metazoa; Chordata; Cladistia; Polypteriformes; Polypteridae.
AGUGUAGGCGUGUCUUACAUAAGUGUCAAGCCCGAGUGUUACCUGGGCAACAGUGUAGGCGUGUCUUACAUAAGCGUCAGGUCCAAGUGUUACCUGGGCAACGGUGUAGGCGUGUCUUACAUAAGCGUCAGGUCCGAGUGUUACCCGGGCAAUGGUGCAGGCGUGUCUUACAUAAGUGUCAAGCCCGAGUGUUACCUGGGCAACAGUGUAGGCGUGUCUUACAUAAGCGUCAGGUCCAAGUGUUACCUGGGCAACGGUGUAGGCGUGUCUUACAUAAGCGUCAGGUCCAAGUGUUACCUGGGCAAUGGUGUAGGCGUGUCUUACAUAAGUGUCAGGCCCGAAUGUUACCUGGGCAACAGUGUAGGCGUGUCUUACAUAAGCGUCAGGUCCGAGUGUUACC